RNAcentral lists this long non-coding RNA (373 nucleotides) under Zea mays. RNAcentral's name for it is "drought responsive lncRNA". The record is from RNAcentral. Lineage: Eukaryota; Viridiplantae; Streptophyta; Magnoliopsida; Poales; Poaceae.
AGCUCCAACUCAUACUUUAUUGCAUAUUGACGCAUAUCAAUCCUGAAUUAUUUCAUGUUAGGAAACAAACAACCUAGCUACAUAGAAGGAUUCAUCCUAUCGUACACCACCCUCUUCUGAUCUGGAAGAAAGUCUUCACAUGGCUGAUCAACAUGGUGGUCAUCCUUGUCAAUAUCCCUAAUUUCUUGCACAUUACAAGUUGAACCAUAUCUAUAAAAUUCAUCUCUUCUACUGUUCUCAGCCUCGACCUCUUUAUUGAGUCCAAUAUUACAAUAUAUCUCAUUUUCACAUGGUACUUCUACUCUUCCUUCUUUCUCUAGAACAUCAGAAACUACCAUAGAAUCCCAAUCAAAUUGUGUUGUUGCCUCCGUCC